AUUGAACGCUGGCGGCGUGCCUUACACAUGCAAGUCGAACGGCAGCACGGGAGCAAUCCUGGUGGCGAGUGGCGAACGGGUGAGUAAUAUAUCGGAACGUGCCCGGUCGUGGGGGAUAACGUAGCGAAAGCUACGCUAAUACCGCAUACGAUCUACGGAUGAAAGCGGGGGAUCGCAAGACCUCGCGCGAUUGGAGCGGCCGAUAUCAGAUUAGGUAGUUGGUGAGGUAAAGGCUCACCAAGCCGACGAUCUGUAGCUGGUCUGAGAGGACGACCAGCCACACUGGGACUGAGACACGGCCCAGACUCCUACGGGAGGCAGCAGUGGGGAAUUUUGGACAAUGGGCGCAAGCCUGAUCCAGCAAUGCCGCGUGCAGGAUGAAGGCCUUC
RNAcentral lists this ribosomal RNA (389 nucleotides) under uncultured bacterium. RNAcentral describes it as "bacterial SSU rRNA". It matches the Rfam family "Bacterial small subunit ribosomal RNA", at positions 30 to 419 of the family's 1533-position model. The record is from RNAcentral.